CCUACGGGUGGCAGCAGUGGGGGAUAUUGCACAAUGGGGGGAACCCUGAUGCAGCGACGCCGCGUGGGUGAAGGAGCGUUUCGGCGCGUAAAGCUCUAUCGGCCGGGAAGAAGAUGACGGUCCCUGACCAAGAAGCCCCGGCUAACUACGUGCCAGCAGCCGAGGUAAUACGUAGGGGGCAAGCGUUCCCCGAUUUUACUGGGUGUAAAGGGGGCGCAGACGGCAAUGCAAGCCAGGAGUGAAUGCGCGGGCCCCAACGCCGGGACGGCUCUUGGCACUGCAUGGCUGGAGUACAGGAGGGGCGGGAGGAAUUCCUAGUGUAGCGGUGAAAUGCGUAGAUAUUAGGAGGAACACCGGUGGCGAAGGCGGCCUGCUGGACUGUGACUGACGUUGAGGCCCGAAGGCGUGGGGAGCAAACAGGAUUAGAUACCCGUGUAGUC
This 440-nucleotide ribosomal RNA is filed under the name uncultured bacterium. Its description in RNAcentral is "partial 16S ribosomal RNA". It matches the Rfam family "Bacterial small subunit ribosomal RNA", at positions 338 to 795 of the family's 1533-position model. The record is from RNAcentral.